CCGGUGAGCCUCAGACGCUACAGAACAACAGCCACCUCUAUAUGUGCCUUAUUCCUACAUGUUCAUCCUAGGCACUGUCAGUGUGUUUGCUGCUGCUGUAAGAAAUUCCUGAGAUGGAGACAUUCAUAGCGAAGAUGUAUUCAUUUUGUCUCACAUAGUUGAAGGCUGGGCAGUCUAAGAGCAUGGCCCCACCAUGGCUCCAUGUUCCUCUGGCAGCUUCCCAGAAAAGCACCACGCAUCUGUUCCCAAAACAUCCGUUCAUAAGGCAGUUCCCAGAGAAACAUCAUGUGACGCAACUGAGACU
This 304-nucleotide long non-coding RNA is filed under the name Rattus norvegicus (Norway rat). Its description in RNAcentral is "long non-coding RNA NONRATT023623". The record is from RNAcentral. Lineage: Eukaryota; Metazoa; Chordata; Mammalia; Rodentia; Muridae.